AUCUUAUAUCUUAUAUUUAUGUAUGUAUCUUAUAUCUAUAUAUUUAUGUAUGUAUCUUAUAUCUAUAUAUUUAUAUUUAUAUUUAUUAUAUCUGUGACAAUCUGCCAUUGAGUGUGACAGCUUCUCUGCACUGGCUGCCUGGAAAUGUAGGAUAGAAUUCAAAAUUCUCCUGCUCACCUACAAAGUACUCAAUGAUAAAGCUCCUUCUUAUCUUAAAGACAUCAUAGUUCCUUAUGUUCCCAGUAGAACGCUUUGUUCUCAGAGCGCUGGGCUACUUGUGGUUCCUAGAAUCUUUAAAUGUAGAACGGGGGGCAGAGCUUUUAGCUACCAAGCUCCUCUCCCCCGGAACCAGCUCCCUCUUCAGGUUUGAGAAGAUGACACACUCUCCACCUUUGGAGAUAUGUAGGAGAAAUGUGAUCUCUCUUUCUAAGUCCUGUCUGAACUCUGGCUGCAGCAUUUUGAAUAAGCUGUAGGCUUUUUAACGAGCUGUUAGGGCAUCCUAUGAGUAAGCAGUUACAGUUGUCCAGCCUAGAGGUGACAAAUGCAUGAAUCAGUUUCUCUGCAUCGCUCUGAGAGAGGAUGGUUUUGAUUUUAGUUAUAUUUCUAAGAUGAAAGUAGGCGGUUCUAGAGAUUUGUUUAAUGUAUGAUGUAAAAGAGAGAUCCUGGUCAAAGAAGACACCAAGGUUCCUUACAGUAGAAUCUGAAGCUAAUGUUAUGCUAUCCAGGGUGGCUAUCAGACUCAAUAGUGUCUCCCUCUGAUUUUUAGGCCCAACGAUAAGAAUUUCAGUUUUAUCUGAAUUUAGUUGAAGGAAGUUUUGGGACAUUCAGGAUUUAAGGCUAUGAUGUUUUCUAAAUCCUGACUGAAAAUCUGUGCAGGUUAUUCCCACUCAGGUAGUCAGAUAAUUGUUUAGCUAUGAUUUUUUUCAAGAAUAUUAGAAAUAAAGGGAAAAUUUGAAGUGGGCCUAUAGUUGGCAAGUUCUCCAGGGUCCAGAGUAGUUUUUUUCAAUAAAGGUUUGAUUACAACCACCUUAAAAGCCUGUGGUACAUAUCCUAAAUGUAAAGAUUGGUUGAUUUGAUUUGAUUUAAUAUGGACAAGCUGAUUAAAGGUAGAACUUUUUUGAGUAAUCUGGUUGUGAUUGGAUCUAAAAGACAAGUAGGCAACUUGGAAGACUUUAUUAUUGAAGUUAACUCCAUAUGAGUUAUGCGGAAAAAGCUGUCUAGGUAAAACAGAGAACUUGGUAAACUUAAAGUUGAUGGAUCUAGAGGGUGAUUUCCGUCAUUUGGAAAAAGAGGCUGAUCACUGUUUUCUCUAAUGGUGAUAAUUUUAUUAGUGAAGUACUGUAGUUCAUAGUCAUUGCUGCUGAGAUUUAAGGGGAUAGUAGGCUCAGCACAGCUAUGACUCUUAGUCAGCCUGACUACAGUGCUCAAAAGAAACCUGGGGUUGUUUUUGUUUUUCUCAAUUAAGGAGGAAUAAUAUGUUUUUCUAGCAGCACAAAGUGCCUUUUUUAUAUAUCAUUAGACUGUCCUUCCAUGCUAUACAGUUUACAUUCAUUUUGAUAGAACGCCACUGCCUUUCUAGUUGUCUGGUUCUAUGCUUUAGGCUGCAGAAUUCUGAGUUAUACAUAUAUACGUAGAAAAACUGCAGCAGCAUCUACAAGACAGUCAACUUGUUCGUAAGGAUUAAGGUGACUGUCUUCCUUUGUGUAGCUUCAAGACAAUGAGGCAAAAGAUGAUGGAAUCAUCUGUUUGAAUCUGGCAACAGCGUUGUCAGAUAAACAUCUGCUAUAGUAAUAUUUCUUUCCAGCUGCUGAUCAAUUAUGGUACAUUCAAAAGUAAAUAAGAAAUGGUCAGAUUUUCAGGUUCAGGUUUUGGGGAAGAAUUAUUAAAUUAUCAAUUUCAACCCCAUAUGUCAAAACAAGAUCGAGGGUAUGGUUAAAAAGAUGAGUGGGUUCAUUUACAUGCUGAGUAAAACAAAUAGUGUCUAUUAAGGAGUCAAAAGCAGUGCUGAGACAGUUGCUGACAACAUCUACAUGAAUGUUAAAGUCUCCCACUACAAUGACCUUAUCUGUGCUAAGGACAAAGUCAGAUAAAAAUUCACAGAAUUCAGUUAAAGCUCUAAAUAUGGAGCAGGAAGAUGAUACACAACUGGCUUCUGGGUUUUAGAGUCCGGGUGAGAAAGGCUCAGAGUGAGGCUUCUCAAAUGAGUUAUAACUAUGUUUAUGUUUAGGAGUAAUUCAUAAAUCUGAGUUAUAAAUUGGUGCUCCACCGCUACCUACUUCUAGGAACAUGAUAGUUGAUGUGGCUCAUUGGACCAACCGAGCAGCUCUAGCUGGAAGUUAACAGACACAGUCAGACCUGGAGCUAGUUAGAAGCCCCACGCUGCACAUGUAAGCGUCCUGUGAUUGAAUAAUCACUGGCACUUUAAAAAAUGUCUGAUGCGUUGGUUCCCAACAGCUGUCGCUGUGUCUAAUCCACGAUGCUGAAGAAGCAGAUGCUGUUUUUAAGACGUGUCUUAUAUGAAAUAGGAAAAAAGAUUUCAACGUGAACUCAAGUGCAAAAUAAAGGCAGGGCAAGAGGAGCUACAGGAAGAAGCUGAAGGCAAGGUUAACGCAGAAUGUGUGGAAGGGCUUGAAGACCAUCUCUGGCCACGGAGAUUUGACUCCAGCCCUCCCCCCUCUACUUGAGGGUUGGCAGGUGGUACAUCUUAAUAUAAAAAUACAAACUAUUAAAAUGAAUUAAGAUGAAAUUUUGUACCCCUGACAUUAAAGGAGUCAUAUCAUGCUUUUCAUUCUAAAAAAUAUUAGACUUUAAUGUCACAGUAAGGCCUCUGUAAAUUUUCAUCCCAUAAAACCCUUUAGAUCGUCCACACUGCCCCUGUCAAUGUGUGGUUUUCACUCUCCAUCAGCAAACGCUGUGUUUUCUGGGCGUGUCGCAAGCGAAGCUGCUCACCACACCUCUGUGCGGAAGUGCAUACCUUUUUUGUUGUUGUUUUUUUUUUAAAAUUGGCUCCAUGGAUACGAGCCACCGCACGGUUAGGAUACGAUAGGUGGCAGUAGUGCGACAUUGAGAAUGCAAUCCACCGCAAUCCUCCACAGAAGAAGAAGACCCACUACAGAACUGCACGACAUUAGUCAGCUGGUUCGUAGCGUAGUAGAACCAUACGUCUACGAUCCCGAAUCUGACCCUGAAGCUGAAGAGGAGGCUGUUGAAGUCACCACAUUUCGGCUGAUGCAAGAUGUGUCUCAUUGUUGUUACAGGUAUCUAGUCUACAGAGGCUAGUGAGCUGGUGCUGAGGAUUCCUGGGGUGAAGAAUCUGAGUUGCCAUCUCUUCAUGCUUGGGUUGUAGAUGAAGGCAGUUUCCUGAUGGAUAAAACACUAAAACACUCAUAGUAUGAUUGAUGUAGACCACCUGUAGAAUAACUCGUUUACUGUUUGAGUAAAAAUGUGUUUUUUGAGUGCAACACUCAUUAAGAAUUUUUUUUACUUUAUUUAUAUAUAAUUUAUAUGCGUUUUAUUUAUGGCCGCUUCAACUUUAUAGCUUACCAUAUUAGAAAGAGAAAAACAUGUAAUUUCAAUACUAUGAUUUCCUAAAUAAAAGUGUUUUCCCUUCAGAAA
Molecule: long non-coding RNA, 3615 nt
Organism: Betta splendens (Siamese fighting fish)
Lineage: Eukaryota; Metazoa; Chordata; Actinopteri; Anabantiformes; Osphronemidae
Exons: 2
Source: RefSeq, a predicted model, not a curated record